This 468-nucleotide ribosomal RNA is filed under the name uncultured Gemmobacter sp. RNAcentral's name for it is "bacterial SSU rRNA". It matches the Rfam family "Bacterial small subunit ribosomal RNA", at positions 8 to 498 of the family's 1533-position model. The record is from RNAcentral. Lineage: Bacteria; Pseudomonadati; Pseudomonadota; Alphaproteobacteria; Rhodobacterales; Paracoccaceae.
AGAGUUUGAUCCUGGCUCAGAUUGAACGCUGGCGGCAGGCCUAACACAUGCAAGUCGAACGGGAUCUUCGGAUCUAGUGGCGGACGGGUGAGUAACGCGUGGGAACGUACCCUUUGGUUCGGAAUAGCCCUGGGAAACUGGGAGUAAUACCGGAUACGGUCGAGAGACGAAAGAUUUAUCGCCGAAGGAUCGGCCCGCGUUGGAUUAGGUAGUUGGUGGGGUAAUGGCCUACCAAGCCGACGAUCCAUAGCUGGUUUGAGAGGAUGAUCAGCCACACUGGGACUGAGACACGGCCCAGACUCCUACGGGAGGCAGCAGUGGGGAAUCUUAGACAAUGGGGGAAACCCUGAUGCAGCAAUGCCGCGUGUGUGAAGAAGGCCUGCGGGUUGUAAAGCACUUUUAUUAGGAAAGAAAAACCCGGAGUUAAUACCUCCGGACUUGACGGUACCUAAAGAAUAAGCACCGGCU